AAUGCAUAGACCAGCUAAUCUUAAUCCUCCCACUGACUUUACCAAGUCAGAUUAGGGUAGACUAAAAAAAUAAGCUGGUCCUAUUGACAAGAAAUCAAUCCUUCCACUGACUUCACCAAGUCAUGUCGAGGAUAAAGACAAAUCAAACUAGGAGCACUUAAAUCAGUCAAACUGAUUUUCUAGUAAGCAUGGGUCAACCCCAAUCAUUAAGCGAUCUGAUCAAAAUUUGAUUCACCAUGUUGGCCAGGUAAGUG
RNAcentral lists this long non-coding RNA (254 nucleotides) under Elaeis guineensis (African oil palm). RNAcentral's name for it is "long non-coding RNA (EGUI_LNC047920)". The record is from RNAcentral. Lineage: Eukaryota; Viridiplantae; Streptophyta; Magnoliopsida; Arecales; Arecaceae.